UUCUGACUUGGCUUGUGUCCCUGCAGGGAUUGAGUUUGUAGCUGCCCAGCUCAAGUCCAUGGUGCUGACCUUGGGCCUGAUUGACCUGCGCCUGACAGUGGAGCAGGCCGUGCUGCUGUCACGCCUGGAGGAGGAGUACCAGAUCCAGAAGUGGGGCAACAUUGAGUGGGCCCAUGACUAUGAGCUGCAGGAGCUGCGGGCCCGCACCGCUGCCGGCACCCUCUUCAUCCAUCUCUGCUCCGAGAGCACCACAGUCAAGCACAAGCUCCUGAAGGAGUGAGGCCUGGACAGCGCGCACACAGCAGGAUAGAGGCAAUGCAGCCACAGCUUCCCCGGCCUUCAGGGCUCCCCAGCCUGUGGGGCUGGCUUCCUUGGCUUUUGGGGGCUCGGCCUCAGCAUCACCCUGAGAUUCCCCCGAGACACAGUGUGCUAGUGCAGCUGUCCGGAGGUCAGCCUGAUUUCAACCCAGGUGCCCCUGGCCUGGCCAGCAGUAAAUGUAGGAGAUGAAUUGUACAAGUGACUUUCUCUUGACUCUGAUUUUAUUAAAUAUUUCUCCACCCUGGAAA
Molecule: small RNA, 566 nt
Filed under: Pongo abelii (Sumatran orangutan)
Lineage: Eukaryota; Metazoa; Chordata; Mammalia; Primates; Hominidae
Description: retained intron
Source: RNAcentral